This 3576-nucleotide ribosomal RNA is filed under the name Triticum aestivum (bread wheat). RNAcentral's name for it is "partial small subunit ribosomal RNA". The record is from RNAcentral. Lineage: Eukaryota; Viridiplantae; Streptophyta; Magnoliopsida; Poales; Poaceae.
AUGUGUCCACCUCGCCUCCCCUCCCUCAUCAGAUCCCACAGCCAACAAGAAAAAAAAGAAACUAAGCUGAGCUCGCCGCACCGCAGUACAGGCAGUCUCGUCUCUUCUCUCCGCUCCUCCCCUCCCUCGGCGGCGGCGGCGGCGGCGAUGGGGACGAAGGAGCCCGGCUCCCCGAGCCCCGACGACGCGGUGCUCUUCUUCGGGGUGGCCCUCGUGCUGGGCAUCGCCUCCCGCCACCUCCUCCGCGGCACCCGCGUCCCCUACACCGUCGCCCUCCUCGUCCUCGGCGUCGCCCUCGGCGGCCUCGAGUACGGGACCAAGCAUGGCCUCGGCAAGCUCGGAGCCGGCAUCCGUAUCUGGGCUGCCAUAAAUCCUGAUCUCCUUCUUGCCGUCUUCCUCCCCGCCCUCCUCUUCGAGAGCUCCUUCUCCAUGGAAGUGCACCAGAUCAAGAAAUGCAUGGCGCAGAUGGUGUUACUUGCCGUCCCAGGCGUGGUGAUCUCAACAGUUUUGCUUGGCGCUGCUGUAAAGCUCACUUUUCCAUAUGACUGGAACUGGAAAACAUCAUUCUUGUUCAGUGGACUGCUUAGUGCAACCGACCCUGUUGCCGUGGUUGCUCUUCUAAAAGACCUAGGAGCAAGCAAAAAGCUCAGUACAAUAAUUGAAGGAGAGUCCUUGAUGAAUGACGGGACUGCUAUUGUUGUCUAUCAGCUAUUCUAUCGAAUGGUGCUUGGAAAAACUUUCGAUGCAGGGUCCAUCAUAAAGUUCUUGUCACAAGUUUCACUUGGAGCUGUUGCUCUGGGCCUUGCGUUUGGAAUUGCAUCAGUACUAUGGCUGGGCUUUAUUUUCAAUGAUACAAUCAUAGAGAUUUCACUUACCGUUGCUGUCAGCUAUAUUGCUUUCUUCACUGCGCAAGAUGCAUUGGAGGUCUCUGGUGUUUUAGCCGUCAUGACCUUGGGGAUGUUCUAUGCUGCUUUUGCAAAAACUGCUUUUAAGGGUGACAGCCAGCAAAGUUUACAUCAUUUCUGGGAAAUGGUUGCUUACAUUGCAAACACACUUAUUUUCAUACUGAGUGGGGUUGUUAUUGCAGAUGGCGUACUACAAGAUAAUAUUCAUUUUGAGAGGCAUGGCACAUCAUGGGGGUUCCUUCUUCUGCUCUAUGUUUUUGUGCAAAUAUCGCGUGCUGUAGUUGUCGGUGUUUUGUAUCCACUGUUGCGUCACUUUGGGUAUGGUAUGGACAUCAAAGAAGCCACAGUUCUUGUUUGGUCAGGAUUGCGUGGAGCUGUUGCUCUAUCACUUUCUCUGUCCGUUAAACGUGCUAGUGAUUCAGUUCAAACUUAUCUGAAACCAGAAGUUGGAACAAUGUUUGUGUUCUUCACAGGUGGCAUCGUGUUUCUGACUUUGAUUUUGAAUGGUUCCACCACACAAUUUUUGUUGCACCUACUUGGUCUGGGAAAAUUGUCAGCAACGAAGCUUCGUGUAUUGAAGUAUACACAAUAUGAAAUGCUAAACAAGGCAUUGGAGGCUUUUGGUGAUCUCAGGGAUGAUGAGGAACUUGGGCCUGUUGAUUGGGUUAAUGUGAAGAAAUAUAUCACAUGUUUGAAUAACUUGGAAGAUGAACAAGCACAUCCCCACGAUGUUCCUGACAAGGAUGAUCACGUACAUACCAUGAAUUUGAAGGAUACUCGAGUGCGGCUUUUGAAUGGUGUGCAAGCUGCUUACUGGGGAAUGCUUGAAGAGGGACGAAUAACUCAAUCUACAGCAAAUAUUUUAAUGAGAUCAGUUGAUGAAGCUAUGGAUCUUGUCUCUAGCCAGUCAUUAUGUGAUUGGAAGGGUUUGCGGUCCAAUGUUCAUUUCCCAAAUUACUAUAGGUUCCUUCAGAUGAGCAGGUUGCCACGAAGGCUUGUCACAUACUUCACAGUAGAAAGAUUGGAGUUAGGAUGUUACAUCUGCGCGGCAUUUCUCCGUGCUCACAGAAUUGCGAGGAGACAACUACAUGAUUUCCUUGGUGAUAGUGAGAUUGCAAGAAUUGUCAUCGAUGAAAGUAUUGCUGCUGGGGAGGAAGCUAAAAAGUUUCUGGAAGAUGUUCGUGUUACAUUCCCUCAGGUGCUUCGUGUAUUGAAGACUCGACAAGUAACAUAUGCGGUAUUGACACACUUGAGUGAGUAUAUUCAAGACCUUGGGAAGACUGGGUUGCUCGAGGAAAAGGAAAUAGUCCAUCUCGAUGAUGCUUUGCAGACAGACUUGAAGAAGCUUAAGAGGAAUCCGCCACUGGUGAAAAUGCCAAGAGUUCGCGAACUUCUAAAUACCCAUCCUUUAGUUGGUGCACUGCCUGCUGCUCUUCGUGAUCCAUUGUUAAGUAACACAAAGGAAACAAUAAAAGGGCAUGGAACAGUUCUUUACACAGAAGGCUCAAGACCGACUGGCGUAUGGCUUGUUUCGAGUGGAAUAGUAAAGUGGACAAGUCAGAGACUAUGCACGAGGCAUUCAUUGGAUCCAAUUUUGUCACAUGGAAGCACUUUGGGUCUAUAUGAGGCACUAAUUGGAAAGCCUUAUAUUUGUGACAUUAUUACAGAAUCGGUGGUGCAUUGUUUCUUCAUUGAGGCUGAAAAAAUAGAGCAAUUGCGCCAGUCUGAUCCUUCUAUUGAGGAUUUUAUGUGGCAGGAGAGUGCUCUAGUUAUUGCAAGGAUUUUGCUCCCUCAGAUAUUUGAGAAAAUGGCAAUGCGUGAGAUGAGGGUUCUCAUUUCAGAAAGAUCUACUACGAAUGUCUACAUUAAGGGGGAAGAAAUUGAACUCAGGCAUAAUUACAUAGGCAUCUUAUUGGAGGGAUUUCUGAAGACAGAGAACCGAACUUUGAUCACACCUCCAGCUGUGCUGCUGCCGUCAAACACUGAUUUGAACUUAUUUGGCCUGCAGUCUUCAGCCAUGAAUCAGAUAGACUACUGUUAUACUGCUCCCAGUUAUCAGGUGGAGGCUAGAGCAAGGGUCAUCUUAUUUGAAAUGAGGAGGCCAGAUAUAGAAUCCGAUCUGCAAAGAAGUGCAUCGUUGCUUUCUCCAGCACUCGGACCGUCACGAACACAGAGCAAAGAGCAUGUCGGUUUGCUCAGGUGGCCGGAGAGUUUCCGGAAAUCCAGAGGGCCUGGAAAUGCAAGCUUAGCUGAAAUCAGAAGCCAGUCUGGUAGCUUCUCUGCUAGAGCCUUGCAAGUCAGCAUGUAUGGCAGCAUGAUGGAUGGCAUGCGCCCUGCUCGGCGGCAACCGAGGCUUGAUCAUGUGGAAGCGAACCAGAAGCACAGCGCGUCGUAUCCAAAGGUGCCUUCAAGGGCAGCCGACACGCGGCCUCUGCUGUCGGUGAGGUCGGAGGGCUCCAAUGCGAUGAGCAGAAAAUCUGCUCCUGCUCCAGCUAUAGCUCCUCCACUCGCUUCCUUUCUGCCACCCCUAGCAGCAGGACGGCAACGCCGAGCGGUAGGAGAAGAUGACGACUCGAGCGAUGAGUCCGUGGGGGAAGAAGUUAUCGUCAGAGUGGACUCUCCCAGCAUGCUCUCGUUCAAUCCACCCUCCGGCCCACCGCGAGGCAGCUGA